This 468-nucleotide ribosomal RNA is filed under the name uncultured bacterium. RNAcentral describes it as "partial 16S ribosomal RNA". It matches the Rfam family "Bacterial small subunit ribosomal RNA", at positions 28 to 507 of the family's 1533-position model. The record is from RNAcentral.
GACGAACGCUGGCGGCGUGCUUAACACAUGCAAGUCGAACGGAAAGGCCCUGCUUUUGUGGGGUGCUCGAGUGGCGAACGGGUGAGUAACACGUGAGUAACCUGCCCUUGACUUUGGGAUAACUUCAGGAAACUGGGGCUAAUACCGGAUAGGAGCUCCUGCUGCAUGGUGGGGGUUGGAAAGUUUCGGCGGUUGGGGAUGGACUCGCGGCUUAUCAGCUUGUUGGUGGGGUAGUGGCUUACCAAGGCUUUGACGGGUAGCCGGCCUGAGAGGGUGACCGGCCACAUUGGGACUGAGGUACGGCCCAGACUCCUACGGGAGGCAGCAGUGGGGAAUAUUGCAUAAUGGGCGGAAGCCUGAAGCAGCAACGCCGCGUGCGGGAUGACGGCCUUCGGGUUGUAAACCGCUUUCGCCUGUGACGAAGCGUGAGUGACGGUAAUGGGUAAAGAAGCACCGGCUAACUACGUG